AUGCAUAAUCAGUUGUGAUUUGCAAUCUGUGCUUUCCCCACAACAGGCACAUCUAUGGAGCUUUUCCACCACUGAUAUUAUUGAGGAGGUCAAAAAUAUGUGUGAUCCCCUGUUUAGUUUUGCUUUGAUGACAGCUACUGUUUUCUUACUCCCAGUUCAAGGCCUGUAUUACUGUCUGCCUGUGAUGACUCCUUCAGAUGCUUUCCCAGAUCACUCUUCAGAUGUCAGUUCAGAGGAAGAUGAACCAGUCCCGGCCACAUCUGGAGGGGAAUUGAUCAAUAGCUCCAGUCAGUUGUCUGAGAAGGAUUUGGCUGAAGCACAGCUGCAGCAGGAGUCCUGAGGCUUUGCUUGGGGAAAGCAUGCAGCUGCAGCCAGUCAGUGGGGAGGAAGAGGAACUGCCUUUUGCCCCUAAUCAGUGGGAAAUGGAAAAUACUUUGAUUUCUGGCUUGAUUUGCUUUCCUUUUCAAUGUUGCUUAUUAUUCUCAGUCAUCCGGAGUGCUGUUAUAGCCAUCCUCU
Long non-coding RNA from Thamnophis elegans (Western terrestrial garter snake), 516 nucleotides. RefSeq lists it as uncharacterized. The transcript is spliced from 3 exons. Lineage: Eukaryota; Metazoa; Chordata; Lepidosauria; Squamata; Natricidae. The record is from RefSeq and is a predicted model, not a curated record.